AACUGGCCUGUGUAAGCGGAUGGGCUCGGCCUCAAGGACAGGGUGCUCGGCUGAAAAAAAAAGCUCGCGGCGAUCACCGAUGCCAGGGUUCUCCAGAAACGGAGCCCAUCUAACCAAUGCCCAGCACACUCGCUCGGCUCCACACACGAGACCACCUCCGACCCGCACUAAGUCGGCCAACUGCACUCUGGAGGCGGCGGCAGCCAGCGAGGGAGAAAGGGAACUUGAGAAGGGGAAGGCUGUCCCGGGACCCCGAGGAGGACAGCCCCGCUACCGGGAACGGGGUGCGGCAUAAAACACCUCCGGCUUAGGGCCGACCCUCCCUGACCCCUGGAGGCCCAGGCGGGGCGGCUGGGGGUGACGCGGCAGGGGUCUCCGCGCCCAGGCUCCCGCGGAGCACCCACACGUGGAGGUUCCCACUUUGGGGUCGCGGCCGCAGCAGCACCGGGCGGGGUGCUGUCCGCGCUGCCCGCAUACGGCCGCGGCCUGAGUGGAGACGCCUGCCCCCAGCCCCGCGGCCUCGGCCCCCGUCCGCCCUCCCUCCCUGCUCGGCGGCCUCGUACUCACGCUGACUUCAUGGCAGCAGGCUCCACGCCGCUCAAACGCGCGCGCGGGACGGCUGGCUGGCGAAGACUGCGGGACGUUAGGACCGGCAGCAGGAACGGGGACUCCGCGGCUAAGGCGCGGUGCUCUGCGAAGCUGGCGGCGACGCUAAGAGCCCAGGUGAGCUCCCGCCUGGCGCAUUUCAAACGGGCCAAUCAGCGCCCGUCCGCAGGGAGAAGCCGGACCUCCGCGGAAGUGACUGAGCUGCCGGAAGUGGCGCUUGUCUCCUAGGCGACCGACGCGGAAAGGGCCACGGAGUCGUGUGUCGGGGCUGGAGGGAGAUCUUGAGAUCACCUCAAACUUAAGUGAGCUCAGGUUCAUCUGGAGGAUGACUCGGCCUCUGUUCUCGUCCUACCUGACGAGAAAUACCCACAGGUGUGGAGGGGCUGGCCCCCUUCACCUGGGUCUCGACUCCUGUUUUGUUCUACGGUUCCCAUUGCAGUGCUGUGACCCCCAGAAGCUCAGGAAAACCACUGACUUCCUGGUGUUGCCAACAGGCAGAGAGGAGAUGCAGCCAGUCCUUACCCUGUAGAAGAUGGGGAGGGAGUCCCAGGUGUACGGAUAAGCAAAGGCGAGGACACGAAUCACCUUACAGAGUCUGGGCUUCUGGAUUUCAAGAAACCUAAAUCAGGGAAGGAAAGUGGGGGAGGAAAUGGAAUGAAAAGAGUCUCAGCAAAUUGCACACGCACGUGCGUGCACACCGAGGGCCUGGUCAUCAACAGAGGACAAGCAUUUUUGUGCAAGCUCCUGUGGCCAGCAGCUUCUCCACCACCCUCGUCCAUUCCUCCCCACCCCAAUGGAAGUGACAAAACUUCAGAUGCGAAAAGAUCUCCAGAGACCUGACCAUGAGAAGCAGUGGUGUCCAGACUAAGCCAGAAAGGAGGCGCUGGGCAGAAACCCUUCGAGGGCCAAGUUAUGUAACUGCCAAAGAAUCUUUUAAAACUCUAGUUGCUACAGGGACAGGGAACAGGUAGGGGGAAUUGGGGGAUCCACUGCCACAGACUCUUGAGGGGCACACUCUGCAAAGGCUGAGAUGCACCCAUCUAGUUGGAGCCCAGGUAUUAUCAUGCAGGAGACCUGGGUUCGAGUAGGUGUUUGAUCCUUGGAGAGCUUUCUGGAAUAUUUAUACCACACACAGGGAUACUUGGCUUGGGAAAACUAAAUAAAUGUGAAGUCUUUC
This 1783-nucleotide non-coding RNA is filed under the name Pongo abelii (Sumatran orangutan). Lineage: Eukaryota; Metazoa; Chordata; Mammalia; Primates; Hominidae. The record is from RNAcentral.